AGUGAACGCUGGCGGUAGGCCUAACACAUGCAAGUCGAACGGCAGCACAGGAGAGCUUGCUCUCUGGGUGGCGAGUGGCGGACGGGUGAGGAAUACAUCGGAAUCUACUCUGUCGUGGGGGAUAACGUAGGGAAACUUACGCUAAUACCGCAUACGACCUACGGGUGAAAGCAGGGGACCUUCGGGCCUUGCGCGAUUGAAUGAGCGGAUGUCGGAUUAGCUAGUUGGCGGGGUAAAGGCCCACCAAGGCGACGAUCCGUAGCUGGUCUGAGAGGAUGAUCAGCCACACUGGAACUGAGACACGGUCCAGACUCCUACGGGAGGCAGCAGUGGGGAAUAUUGGACAAUGGGCGCAAGCCUGAUCCAGCCAUACCGCGUGGGUGAAGAAGGCCUUCGGGUUGUAAAGCCCUUUUGUUGGGGAAGAAAUCCAGCUGGCUAAUACCCGGUUGGGAUGACGGUACCCAAAGAAUAAGCACCGGCUAACUUCGUGCCAGCAGCCGCCGUAA
This 506-nucleotide ribosomal RNA is filed under the name uncultured bacterium. Its description in RNAcentral is "partial 16S ribosomal RNA". It matches the Rfam family "Bacterial small subunit ribosomal RNA", at positions 29 to 523 of the family's 1533-position model. The record is from RNAcentral.